AUGAUAAAGAAAGCAUUGCGUUAUGCGCAAGGCACGAAGGACUACAUGCUAACAUACAGGAGAUCUGAUUCCCUAGAGAUAAAAGGGUAUUCAGACGCAGAUUUUGCGGGGGACAAAGAUGAUAGAAAAUCCACGUCAGGAUACGAUUCACCCUCGCUGGGGGAGCUAUUUCGUGGAAAAGCUCCAAACAGUCGACAGUUGCAUCAUCCACGAUGUAUGCAGAAUUCAUAG
Molecule: ribosomal RNA, 231 nt
Filed under: Triticum aestivum (bread wheat)
Lineage: Eukaryota; Viridiplantae; Streptophyta; Magnoliopsida; Poales; Poaceae
Description: partial small subunit ribosomal RNA
Source: RNAcentral